UUGACUAAACACGCUUACUUUAUUCAGAAACCCGAGAGACUUCCACAACAAGACGUUGGCAUAUUGUUCUGACGGCCGAAUUAAGAGAAAGCCACUGUACCCACAGGCAGUGUGGAUUUUUGUGGCCUCUUCAUUCACCCUGCAGCAGAGUGGUGGAUGCAGACUGACCAGUGAUAGCAUCUUUUCCCGAGCAGGAAUCGAACCCAUGCUUCUGGCAUUGGAAGCACAGAGUCUUAACCGCUGGACCACCGGGGCAUUUUAGAAGUAAGGAAAGGAAGGAGGACUCUCCCAGGUGUCUGAGUGAUGGGGCCAGGCCUCCGGGCCAGAGGGCCAGCUGCACCCUCCGAGUUUCUUGUGUCUGCUGCUGAAUCAUGGUUCUGAACUGUCCAGAGCAGAGGAAUCCUUGCUGGAUACAAAAGCACUCCACCCCGAGGGAAAACACUGAUGGAUUUUAUAACUUGAUAAUAAAGCUCUCUCUGGGGAGAAUGCCCUCCCAGAGGUAGGAGAUUAAUUUUAUCUUUUGCUUUUUUUGGCUGCUUCUCUUCCCCUGUGUCUUACCCAUUCUUUUCUAUGACUUGCUCAACGAAGGGCAAAGCGGUUUUCUAGAAAGCACCAAACCCUUGAGGCCUUUGAUUUCAGAGCAGGAAAAAAAUGGCCCGGGCUGAGGGCAAGCUCACAGCAGCCUGCCAAAAGAGGGUUCAACCUCUUGCC
Molecule: long non-coding RNA, 711 nt
Filed under: Bos taurus (domestic cattle)
Lineage: Eukaryota; Metazoa; Chordata; Mammalia; Artiodactyla; Bovidae
Description: long non-coding RNA NONBTAT004194
Source: RNAcentral